UAAACUCCUUUUCUGGAGGACGAAUAAAGGUAGGCAGGCAAUGGUCUAUCCUUGACGGUACUCCAGGAACAAGCACCGGCUAACUUCGUGCCAGCAGCCGCGGUAAAACGAAGGGUGCAAGCGUUAUCCGGAAUCACUGGGCGUAAAGGGCGUCUAGGCGGCCCGUUAAGUCGGCGGUGAAAGUCCUCGGCUCAACUGAGGAAAGUCCGUCGAAACUGACAGGCUAGAGGAACACAGAGGGAGGCGGAACUCUCGGAGUAGCGGUGGAAUGCGCAGAUACCGAGAGGUACCCUGAUGGCGAAGGCAGCCUCCUGGGUGUUUCCUGACGCUGAAGCGCUAAGGCCAGGGGAGCCAAGGGGAUUAGAUACCCCCGUAGUCCUGGCUGCAAACGAUGUGAGCUAGGUAUCGGGCCCAUGAAGAGGCUCGUUGCCGUAGCUAACGCGUUAAGCUCACCGCCUGGGGAUUACGUCCGCAAGGAUGAAACUCAAAGGAAUUGACGG
RNAcentral lists this ribosomal RNA (500 nucleotides) under uncultured KB1 group bacterium. RNAcentral describes it as "bacterial SSU rRNA". It matches the Rfam family "Bacterial small subunit ribosomal RNA", at positions 426 to 916 of the family's 1533-position model. The record is from RNAcentral. Lineage: Bacteria; Candidatus Calescibacteriota.